Molecule: RNA transcript, 1483 nt
Organism: Vidua chalybeata
Lineage: Eukaryota; Metazoa; Chordata; Aves; Passeriformes; Viduidae
Gene name: atherin-like
Exons: 3
Source: RefSeq, a predicted model, not a curated record
CGCGGCUCCUCUCCUCCUCACCUCCGCCUCCUCCACCUCCGCCUCGCAUCGCUGGCCUCAGCCGCCGCCGACCAGCACAGAGAAUGAUGCUGUUGAAAAUGUGCAGUUAUUAAGUACCCAGAAAGCAAAUUCACUGAGAACUGCUUCCCACCUGUGGAUUCUUCUGUUCAGCACAGAAUUAUUUUGGCAACUGAAGAAUUCUUCAUUGUGGAUGGCUGUGGGAAGAUACUAAUCCUGUUCUUCAAGUAAGAUGCAUUCACUGAUCUACUAGACCUGCUCCACCUCUACUGUUUUGUAUUGUGAGAGGAAAUCAAAGGAAUCUCAAGUGAUGAGGAAUCUCAAGUCAUUCUUACCCCUUUCUGCCUUUUUUUCAGCUGCCUUCUGCAGACAAGCUCAGAUGUCCCUUGCUCAAUAGGAGUAGAGCAGAGGGAGAUCUGUUGUGAGCUCUGCAUUAAGGCAAGUUCAGUUUUCCAUCUCUGGGCACUCCUUGAGAAAACCUCACUCAAAAUGGUUGCAUGGGGAUGGCAGAUCCCAGCCACAGACAGUUCACAGCUGCUUCACUGGAUGGAACAGCAAAAUGCCUCCUGGAGCUGAUCUGCAGUACAGGAGGAGAAAAUCAGAAUUUUCUUACUGGCUUCUGCUGUCUGAAUGUGCAUGGUGUUCUUUCAUGAGAGUUUCUCCAACAUUUGCUCUGAAUAAAGGUUGUUCCAGGGCACCUACAAAGCAGCGAGCCAUCCUGUUCCUACAGAUGUGGCAAGCUUGAAGAAUGUUGUAUUGGAGCAUUCAAACCCCAUGUCCUGUGUCAUUUGGGAGCUGUGUGGGAGAGAUGUGGUGAUGUAAGACACAUCCUUGGCCUUGGUGAAAAGAGUGCCUGUACCUCUGGAGUCUCACAGGGUUUGAGGCACGACCCUGCAGUGUGGUCAGCAUUUCCACAGCUACCUCAGCCAGUGGAGGUUCCAUUACUGAAUUUUCCCUCUUGUAUGAUCAGCAGAACCAAACACACACUGCCCUGGAGCUCAGCAGUUCCUGGUCCUGUAUCUUCCACACAAAUCAGCUUCAACUAACAGGGAGGUUUCACUGCCGCAUCAGCGACUUGGCAGCCAGCACGGCCAUGUCUCUGUCCCUGCAGGAGGGUUCCUGAGCUGCAAAGGCAGAGGUGUCCCUGCAGGAGGGUUCCUGAGCUGUAAAGGCAGGGAUGUCACGUCCUCAGCCACUGCAGUGACAUCCAGGAGUCCCCCGAGAGCCAGGGCUGCCGUGGCCUACUUUGUGCAGAUGAUUGGAGCAUGCUGGAUCCUGCGCCUCCAACAGCAUCCUUCCAGCAGUGUCAGCUACAGAAUCCAUCAGACUGGGAAUGCUCCUGGUGGUUAGCCCUGCCAGGCCAUGGCUCUAUCCCUGUCCUCUUGGUUUUGAAAUAAAAUACAUAUUGGUGCUGAUGGAUGAGAAAGCACAAAUGAAGUGACAUUCUAUAAAACCAUCAGCUCUG